This 324-nucleotide ribosomal RNA is filed under the name Triticum aestivum (bread wheat). RNAcentral describes it as "partial small subunit ribosomal RNA". The record is from RNAcentral. Lineage: Eukaryota; Viridiplantae; Streptophyta; Magnoliopsida; Poales; Poaceae.
AUGCCCCGGAUGGCAUCCCCUCUUUCGUCUUCGUUCAUCGGUAACUUUACUUGGAGCUAUAUUUUUAUUCGCCACAUGAAUGUGUUUUGCUUGGAGCGUCUUGUAUUAUUUGCGUCUUUGCUUGUUAGUUUACCACAAUCAUCCUUGCUGUACACAUCUUUUGAGAGAGCCAUACAUGAAUUGGAAUUUGUUAGAAUACUCUAUGUGCUUCACUUAUAUCUUUUGAGCUUGAUAGUUUUGCUCAUAGUGCUUCACUUAUAUCUUUUGAGCAUGAUAAUUUUUGCUCUAGUGCUUCACUUAGAUCUUUUAAGAGCACGGUGGUAG